GCCUGAGUGGCUCAGUCGGUUAAGCAUCUGACUUGGGCUCAGGUCAUAAUCUCACAGUAUGUGAGUUCGAGCCUCACAUUGGGCU
Molecule: transfer RNA, 85 nt
Filed under: Felis catus (domestic cat)
Lineage: Eukaryota; Metazoa; Chordata; Mammalia; Carnivora; Felidae
Rfam family: tRNA
About the family: Transfer RNA (tRNA) molecules are approximately 80 nucleotides in length.
Source: Rfam by way of RNAcentral